This 327-nucleotide ribosomal RNA is filed under the name uncultured eukaryote. RNAcentral's name for it is "partial 18S ribosomal RNA". It matches the Rfam family "Eukaryotic small subunit ribosomal RNA", at positions 1470 to 1796 of the family's 1831-position model. The record is from RNAcentral.
CCCUUAGAUGUUCUGGGCCGCACACGCGCUACACUGAAGGAGGCAGCGUGUACUCCUGGAUCGAAAGAUUUGGGUAACCCGCGAAUCUCCUUCGUGCUAGGGAUUGAGGUUUGCAAUUAUCCUUCAUGAACGAGGAUUUCCCAGUAAGUGCAAGUCAUAAGCUUGCGCUGACUACGUCCCUGCCCUUUGUACACACCGCCCGUCGCUACUACCGAUUGAAUGAUUUAGUGAGGACUUCGGACUGGGACCGAUGCGGCUUUCGGGCUGCGUCGGUAUUCUGGAAAGAUGUCCAAACUGUAUCAUUUAGAGGAAGUAAAAGUCGUAACA